RNAcentral lists this long non-coding RNA (265 nucleotides) under Capsicum annuum. RNAcentral's name for it is "long non-coding RNA (CANN_LNC000795)". Lineage: Eukaryota; Viridiplantae; Streptophyta; Magnoliopsida; Solanales; Solanaceae. The record is from RNAcentral.
UAUGUCUCUUAUUGAUGUAUCAUUGUUUCAAAGUAUCAAAAAUGCGGUGGCGACUGAAAUAACAAUCUCAAAGAUUAAUUGAACUAAGUGAUGGAAGUUCUCUCUUAUCGGGUGGUAUUCCAGGGGCAUAAGCCUAUCAUGGGUCUAUCCCUAUUUAUGUGUUUAUGGGUGGUAUCCCAGGGGCAUAAGCCUAUCAUGAGUCGAUCCCAGUUGAUAUGUACUGGAGGCAGCCUAAUGGUCAUAGUAUAGUACAGUAAUGAUUACA